This 440-nucleotide ribosomal RNA is filed under the name uncultured bacterium. RNAcentral describes it as "partial 16S ribosomal RNA". It matches the Rfam family "Bacterial small subunit ribosomal RNA", at positions 338 to 795 of the family's 1533-position model. The record is from RNAcentral.
CCUACGGGUGGCAGCAGUGGGGGAUAUUGCACAAUGGGGGGAACCCUGAUGCAGCGACGCCGCGUGGGUGAAGAAGCGCCUCGGCGCGUAAAGCCCUGUCAGCAGGGAAGAAAAUGACGGUACCUGAAGAAGAAGCCCCGGCUAACUACGUGCCAGCAGCCGCGGUAAUACGUAGGGGGCAAGCGUUAUCCGGAUUCAUUGGGUUUAAAGGGUGCGUAGGUUGUUUUAUAAGUUAGCGGUGAAAUACCGAUGCUCAACAUCGGGGCUGCCGCUAAUACUGUAGGACUAGAGAUCGGAUGCAGCAGGCGGAAUGUGUAGUGUAGCGGUGAAAUGCAUAGAUAUUACACAGAACACCGAUUGCGAAGGCAGCUUGCUAGGCCGGAUCUGACACUGAUGCACGAAAGCGUGGGGAUCGAACAGGAUUAGAUACCCUAGUAGUC